Molecule: unclassified non-coding RNA, 137 nt
Filed under: soil metagenome
Description: partial internal transcribed spacer 1
Source: RNAcentral
CCUAGAGUUGUAGGCUUUGCCUGCUAUCUCUUACCCAUGUCUUUUGAGUACUUACGUUUCCUCGGCGGGUCCGCCCGCCGAUUGGACAAUUUAAACCAUUUGCAGUUGCAAUCGGCGUCUGAAAAACUUAAUAGUUA